Long non-coding RNA from Penaeus monodon (black tiger shrimp), 1250 nucleotides. RefSeq lists it as uncharacterized. Lineage: Eukaryota; Metazoa; Arthropoda; Malacostraca; Decapoda; Penaeidae. The record is from RefSeq and is a predicted model, not a curated record. The transcript has 3 exons.
CGUCAGUCAUCGCCCGCGCUGGCCUGCUGCCACGUCCUCGCCUCACGUCCUCCUCGCGCCUCGCACUCAUGCCGCCAGAAUAAAGUGUGUCCCGCGCAUGACAGCGGGAGGAAGCGUUGGCAAAAGUUGCAUCGGUAUGUCGUCUUCUGAGAACGCGGUGGUGACGAGACCAGGAGCUGUGGCGUGUGCUUGUGGAAAGGUAACGCGUAGGCUGAGAAGUGCGAGCGUUUUGACCCAGCGCUCCCUGCCUGACGCCUUUCCCGCCCCCGAUGCUGCCCCCUGAAGCAGCGCAGGGAUGGACUCAGGCACAUGAUUUUAGCUGCAUUUGUAUAUUGUUUGAUAAAUAGUUCAUUCCUUUAUUUGUGACUCGUGUUAAUUUUAUUGCACAUUGUGUAAACACGGAAGUGUAUGUAUGAAAUUAUAACGGAAUUUCUUGGUUUCGUUUUUUAUCUCCAUUUACUUUUUUCGGUGUAAUCCAGCCACUAUGUUCUCUCCGUGCCUUGACCCGGAUUUAUGAUAGCUACUGAUGCAACGUCGAUUCAUAUUUCAAAUCAUCACGAUAUACACCUUCCAGGGCGCCGCUCUGGUUCCCCAGCUGGCGGUAAGCCAAGCCAGUAUUUUAUACAUCCUAAUUUUCUAUUUAUUAUUUCUAUCUCUCUCGCGAUUUUUUCUUCAAUUCUCACUUCUGUGGGUAACCAGAUUUUUUUUCUUGUUUUUAGUGCUGCAUUAAUGUAUUUCUAUAUCUGAAGCAUUUUACGCUGCAGUUGCUUAGAGCAUCUUAAAGGCGUUUGGCAAGACAUCUGCUGAAGGUCCUGAGUUACCCUUGCUGUCUCGCCAGCUUCAACAUCAGCUUCUUGUAUUGAUUUUUUAAAAGCAUCUGGUGAAUUCAUAGGAUUCUGUAUGGUUUUAACUAUUUAUUAAACGAACAAAUAAAUUAAUGAAAUUAGAUAAAACUAAAAUUAAAAAAAAAAAAAAAAUAGGAAAAUGAUAAAUGAAAAUCAUCCGCGCAGAGGCACAAAUAUGAACUGCGUGUUUUGUGACACAGAAAAUUAGAAGACUGAUACUAUGAUUUCAUAAUAAAUUGCUCUGAUGAAAAUGCAUCUCGUUUUCUUUCAACCUGCCAUCCGAUACAGAAAACACAGGCUGUUGGUAUUUCAGGAUAUUUCCCAGUUCAUAGAUCAUAAAGCCUCCAUCCUCGCGACUUGCUACGACUCGCCGAGCUUUCAGAGUAAGCCAUUAAAAAGCGGUAA